GCCCGGAUGGUCUAGUGGUAUGAUUCGCCCUUAGGGAGCUCGUUUCUCUACUUGGGCGAGGUCCCCGGUUCAAUCCCGGGUUCGGGCC
This 88-nucleotide transfer RNA is filed under the name Rhizoctonia solani. Its description in RNAcentral is "tRNA-Pro". The record is from RNAcentral. RNAcentral also lists the same sequence under 1 other name. Lineage: Eukaryota; Fungi; Basidiomycota; Agaricomycetes; Cantharellales; Ceratobasidiaceae.